GGCGUCCCGGCCCCAGCACCCGCGCUCCUCCCAGCCUCUCGAGGUUCUCGGGCGCCCGGGCCCCCAACCAGGCGGGCCCCAAACCCGGCCUCAGUGUCUUUUCCGGGAACCCAAGCACUCUCGCCCCUCGCCCCUCGCCCCUUAGUUCGGGGCCUUGGGUCCCGCACCCUCCCCCCACGGCCAGCAGGUCUUCGCGCAGCGCGGGGCUGGGACAAGCCGAAGGAGAGGCUGUGGACCCCGACUUGGGACGCCGCGAGAGCAGGGCUGAUGCGGGGCCUGGGCCGCAGCGCCCUCUGCUGGCUACCCCCAGGGGCGGGCCCGGGCUUCGAGGAGCCUAGAGAAGGGGGACUCGGGUCUGUGAUCUGCACAGCUGGUGGUAGUUGGCACUUCCUUAGCCAGAGGCAACAUGCAAGAACACUUACAUUCAACCACCAAUGCAUGGACAUUGGGGCACUCACAGCCAUGCACACAUAUCUGUGAACACUGGGCAUUCCCAGAGACACAUAAGAACACCUGCAGAAAUGCCCCACCAUGGUAACACACCCACAGGAAGCAUAUACUGCCCAAGAACACACACACUUGUGCACAC
Molecule: long non-coding RNA, 589 nt
Filed under: Homo sapiens (human)
Lineage: Eukaryota; Metazoa; Chordata; Mammalia; Primates; Hominidae
Description: HSALNT0176642
Source: RNAcentral